GCUCCUAAAACAUUUACUGGAUGAUGUCCUGCCUUGUAAGCAGGGGAAUGUGGCUCGAUUCCACAUAGGAGCUCCA
RNAcentral lists this transfer RNA (76 nucleotides) under Ignavibacteriaceae bacterium. RNAcentral describes it as "tRNA-Thr". Lineage: Bacteria; Pseudomonadati; Ignavibacteriota; Ignavibacteria; Ignavibacteriales; Ignavibacteriaceae. The record is from RNAcentral.